RNAcentral lists this ribosomal RNA (464 nucleotides) under Vreelandella stevensii. RNAcentral's name for it is "partial 16S ribosomal RNA". It matches the Rfam family "Bacterial small subunit ribosomal RNA", at positions 338 to 795 of the family's 1533-position model. The record is from RNAcentral. Lineage: Bacteria; Pseudomonadati; Pseudomonadota; Gammaproteobacteria; Oceanospirillales; Halomonadaceae.
CCUACGCGAACUGCAGUGGGGAAUAUUGGACAAUGGGCGAAAGCCUGAUCCAGCCAUGCCGCGUGUGUGAAGAAGGCCUUCGGGUUGUAAAGCACUUUCAGUGGGGAAGAAAGCCUUGGGGCUAAUACCCUCGAGGAAGGACAUCACCCACAGAAGAAGCACCGGCUAACUCCGUGCCAGCAGCCGCGGUAAUACGGAGGGUGCGAGCGUUAAUCGGAAUUACUGGGCGUAAAGCGCGCGUAGGCGGUCUGAUAAGCCGGUUGUGAAAGCCCCGGGCUCAACCUGGGAACGGCAUCCGGAACUGUCAGGCUAGAGUGCAGGAGAGGAAGGUAGAAUUCCCGGUGUAGCGGUGAAAUGCGUAGAGAUCGGGAGGAAUACCAGUGGCGAAGGCGGCCUUCUGGACUGACACUGACGCUGAGGUGCGAAAGCGUGGGUAGCAAACAGGAUUAGAUACCCGGGUAGUC